GCUUAGAAGCAGCCAUCAUUUAAAGAAAGCGUAAUAGCUCACUGGUCGAGUCGGCCUGCGCGGAAGAUGUAACGGGGCUAAACCAUGCACCGAAGCUGCGGCAGCGACACUGUGUGUUGUUGGGUAGGGGAGCGUUCUGUAAGCCUGCGAAGGUGUGCUGUGAGGCAUGCUGGAGGUAUCAGAAGUGCGAAUGCUGACAUAAGUAACGAUAAAGCGGGUGAAAAGCCCGCUCGCCGGAAGACCAAGGGUUCCUGUCCAA
This 259-nucleotide ribosomal RNA is filed under the name Escherichia coli. RNAcentral's name for it is "partial 23S ribosomal RNA". It matches the Rfam family "Bacterial large subunit ribosomal RNA", at positions 1104 to 1362 of the family's 2925-position model. The record is from RNAcentral. Lineage: Bacteria; Pseudomonadati; Pseudomonadota; Gammaproteobacteria; Enterobacterales; Enterobacteriaceae.